Molecule: small nuclear RNA, 106 nt
Organism: Suricata suricatta (meerkat)
Lineage: Eukaryota; Metazoa; Chordata; Mammalia; Carnivora; Herpestidae
Source: Ensembl
GUGCUGGCAUCGGCAGCCCAUAUACUAAAAUUGGACGGAUACAGAGAAGAUUGGCGUGGCCCCUGCACAGAGAUGACGUGCAAACUGGCAAAUUCCCCUAACAGUC